This 3380-nucleotide unclassified non-coding RNA is filed under the name Hevea brasiliensis (rubber tree). The record is from RNAcentral. Lineage: Eukaryota; Viridiplantae; Streptophyta; Magnoliopsida; Malpighiales; Euphorbiaceae.
GUCGAUUUUAAUUUAGAAUUGAAAGAGAGGAAAUUGAAAUUGAUCUCCCAUUUAAAGUUCAGGACUGAUUUAGAGUUUUACACAAUUAACCAAAGCCAAUUAUAGAUUUAACCUGAAUCAAUUCCCAUUCGAUUCAAGGUUGAACCGAUCCUCGGCCGAGUUUACGUGUACGGUUGGCGGUGUCCGUCCUGUUACAAAUAUUGAAAUUCAUGGCAGAUCUCACCACACCGAUCCAAGCUUCUCUUUUGACAGAAAAAACCCCCACUGCUCUCUUUCGUUUCGAAAAACAAUUUCUCUCACUCUCUCAUCUCUCUCUGUUUCUCUGUUCCAUAAUCAACUGCACAGCCACGCCCCUUCUACUUUGUUCCCCUUGCGCAUCCUUCACCUGUCUUCCUCUCUCUGCCUUCCAAUUUCAUCACUCUCUUGUUCUUCUCUACUUGGGAAAACCAUUUCUUGCAUCUCUUGUUAAUGAAUGCCACUAGUUUCUGCUUUGUAUUUCUAUUUGUCCUUUUCUUUGAAUUGGGCGGUAGAAUUUGAAAACCGUAGGCAUUUCAGAUCUUGAGGCAUUCAUUGGGCAACUCAGAGCGGAAAUGGUGGCUGAAGCUUGGAUACUGAAGAUGGGUAACCAGGUAAGUAGCAAUCUUAAGCACGCACUCCUUCUCGAACCUUACAAGAAGAAGAACCCAAAAAGAUCAGACACCAAAGAAAGAGAAACUAUUGGCAUCCUUUCUUUUGAGGUUGCUAAUGUCAUGUCUAAAACUGUGCAUCUCCAUAAAUCUCUCACCGAUUCUGAGGUCUACAAGCUUAAAGCCGAGAUCUUGAAAUCUGAGGGAGUUCACAACUUGGUUUCCACCGAUGAAAAUUACCUUCUCCAGCUUGCUUUGGCUGAGAAACUCGAUGACCUUAGUCGGAUAGCUAGUGUUGUUUCUAGGCUCGGCAAGAAGUGUACUGAGCCUGCUUUGCAGGGUUUUGAGCAUGUUUAUGGGGAUAUAGUGAGUGGGGUCAUUGAUGUGAAGCAGUUGGGAUUUUUAGUUAAGGAUACGGAGAGGAUGGUUAGGAAAAUGGAGAGGUAUGUUAAUGCAACCUCUAAUUUGUGUGCGGAAAUGGAGGUGUUAAAUGAACUGGAGCAGGCUACCAAGAAAUUCCAGCAGAACCAGCACGAGGAGAGUCGCAGAGCUUUUGAGCAGAAACUUAUUUGGCAGAAGCAGGAUGUUAGGCAUCUUAAGGAGAUUUCACUUUGGAACCAGACUUAUGAUAAGGUUGUAGAGUUGUUAGCUAGGAAAGUUUGUACUAUUUAUGCUAGGAUUUGUGUGGUGUUUGGGGAAUCUGUGUUGAGGAGGGAGAGCUUUGGGCCUAAUGGAGAGAUUGGUUCUUCGCCUCCUAUGAAGGAUGAAUGCGGGGAGGUUUCAGGUCAGAUAAUGAUUUCAGGAUAUCUGAAACGGGCUAUUAGCAGGAGAAGCAGUAAUGGUUUCCAAUCUGGACCGAUUGAGAAACCAGUGGUGGUGAAAAAGGAGACAAGUGUUAAGUCCAGGAUUGAUUCACGGAGAGGUGAAGAAGGAUUGUUUCGAGCUGAAGAAAUCAUUUUUCCAUGUGGGACCAGUCCUGGAAGGCUAUUCAUGGAUUGCCUAAGUUUGAGUAGUUCAGCUUCUAAAUUGGAUAACGAUGAGGAUGAUGUUAUUGAGAAUGAAGACAAAGGCAGCCAAAUUUCUGGUUGCUGUAGCGUUGUUAAUGGUGGCACGAAGAGAGAGCAUCCAAACAUUUCAGGUAGUUCUAAUCGGAUCCCAAGUGGUGUCUCUUUCAGUGGAGAUCAUAGACAAGCUAGGUUUGGUGUUAUGAAUGCCUGGUUUGCCCCCAAAAGUAGGUUAACAGAGCACGCUUCAACUUCCACAGUGGGAGGAUCUGCUCUUGCCUUGCGUUAUGCAAAUGUUAUCAUAGUUAUAGAGAAGCUGCUUCGCUAUCCCCAUUUAGUUGGUGAGGAAGCCAGGGACGAUUUGUAUCAGAUGUUACCAACGAGCUUAAGAAUGUCCCUGAGGACUAAUCUCAAGUCUUAUGUCAAGAACCUGGCUAUAUAUGAUGCUCCGCUCGCUCAUGUUUGGAAAGAAACUCUUGAUGGGAUUUUAAGGUGGCUUGCUCCACUGGCACAUAACAUGAUCAGGUGGCAAAGUGAGCGUAACUUUGAGCAGCAUCAAAUUGUCAAGCGGACAAAUGUUCUGCUGCUUCAGACAUUGUAUUUUGCUGAGAGGGGAAAGGCAGAAGCAGCCAUUUGUGAGCUUCUUGUUGGGUUGAAUUACAUAUGUCGUUAUGAACAUCAGCAAAAUGCUCUAUUGGACUGUGCAAGUAGCUUUGAUUUUGAAGACUGCAUGCAUUGGCAAAUGCAGUGCCGAGCUGCUUUUGUCGAAUAACUUAAUAUCUGAAUUUAGAUACUUGAAGAAGUUUGUAAAGCGUAGUUGUUGACUCCUGAUACUUGUAUGAAGAUAGAAAUGACAGUUCAACUGGAUGACUAUCUUAGCUUUGCACGCUGAUGACUUGUAUUGCUGAAGACACAGGUUGAUUAAUGUACUUUUCCGCCAGGUAUUGGAAAGUUUUGACGUUUGAAGUACAUAAAUUCAAUUUUUUUAUGGAAAGGAAGCUACCAUUUUGUGCAUAUUUUUGUGUACAAUUUUCAGUUCUUGCCUGUAAAAGUUCCUUUUUUUAACAAUUAGCAUUUUGCAUUUCCUGAUUUUGAAGCGUGAUUAUGAUCUGGUCCUGCUUAAAAUUUUUGUUGGUUUAAAAACUCCUUCAUGUACUUAAUACCUAGAAUGAGAGGAACUUGUGCUCAUUAAUUUAUACGUUUAGUGCAAUGUGUGCUAAAUGACUUGGGAAAACUUCCUGUCAAAUCCUAAGCAGUGUAUUUUAGGAAGCAGCAUUUCAUAAGCAUGCUGUCACAUAAGCAUGUGAAGAUUUGUAAUUAUUUCCUUUUUUCUCUGUAGAAAGCAUGCAUUGGACUGCCAUCAUUGGGUUUGAGCACUCCUGCAUUUCAUUCUUCAUCAAUAUUCCUUUGCUGAUAAAUCCAUUCCUAAUAGUUGGUUUGACUAAAGGCACAGUAAAUUCAUGUCUGAAUCGUUGAGUGGAUGUCUGAUAAAAAAUGUUUUUGGACACCAGCUAUAGGGAAUCUGACACGUCGUCAGUGCUGCAAUUGCACUGGCAAGUACACACCUGUUGCUUGUGCAUUUUGUUGUAUUUUAUCAUGGAUGUCUAUUUAGAAUUCUGAAUUUCUAUCUGAACUGAACCGUCUUGUAGUUCUCUCACUGUACCACAUUAGAACCGCCAUUUUCUCGAUUAGGCCGACUUCUAUACGUAGAUCUAAUAUUAACCGGACUGCUCUCUCUCUCUCUCUCUCU